Non-coding RNA from Amborella trichopoda, 1276 nucleotides. The record is from RefSeq and is a predicted model, not a curated record. NCBI's taxonomy places the organism in Eukaryota, Viridiplantae, Streptophyta, Magnoliopsida, Amborellales, Amborellaceae.
AUGGAUGAAAUGCAUCUUUAAUGCAAAUUAUAACUGUGUAGUUAAUAAAAUGAUGCAAAAAGGAAUAUAGGUGGCAAUGAGAAAAAAGAGGAGGAUGAUAAGAUGGUACCUUUAUGAUGAACUUGAGACCAACUGUUAUUUCACCGCAAUAUGUGUGGUCCCUUAGGACGACAUUGUAAGGAGCUGGUUUCAGUUCAAUACAGCCUGACUUGUUUGCUUCACUUAGUAUUGCUCUUAUAUUUAUUCUGCAAAUGAUGAUUUAGAAGAGUUUAAUUCAAUUGUCAAGCCAAUUGUUUCAUAUCUGGUAGUUGUUGAAUAAAAUUAGGCAACUUGAUAUUUGUCUCUCUCUCACACACACACAUACCCACACGCGUACGCGAGUGUCUAGAUAGGUGUCACUCAUAUUUGCGUGUGUUGGUCACGUGUGACUUACAUGAUGUACAUGUGUGCCUUAGUAACACUUGUCCAUGACAAUGAUCGUCUUUGAAACCACGAUCUUUCAUUUGAAGAGGAUCUUUUGGUUAAGAGGAAAAUUUAUCAAAAGAUCCUAAAGGAAUGAACUAUUCAAUAUUUUAUUUUACCCUUCUGCAACUAUUCUAACUCAUGGCCAUGUGUGUUUUAUCAGUAUUUGAAAUUACAUAAGAAAAAUAGAGAUAAAAGUGUUCACUUAUAGGUAAUUUGAUAAUUUCCCUUCUUAAGAUUUUCUUUUCAAAAGUUGAUUACAUUCUGAUGGUUUCUUCACCAUGGUCUACCAAAAACAGGUUAUAACUCUAUGUUUUACCCAGUAUGUACUAUCCAUAUUUAGGAGUUUUUGAUGGCUUGUUCUAAAUCGAAGCUCAAAUCAAAGAAGCUAUGGUUUUUGUGAAGUUUGCAGAUCAGAAACUCAAUUGGUGCUGCACCGGGCACUCUGACGUGAACCUAGUUGUAUCUUGGUUCUUACCAAAAUGGAGGUGGCCAAAAACGAGGACAUCGUGAAGUCCAAACUGAAGUUAGGGAGGGAAAAACUGAGGAGCGAAGAUUAAAAACAGUUUCUCUCUCUACUCCAGGGGCAGCAAGAGAAAAGGAAAAAGCCGUUUAUUCUCUCUAGAAGCAGGGUAGUGAGAGAGUAAAUAAAAAGGUGGGGAGAAGUCUAGAGAGAGAGAGCUUGUAGUCAUUGUCAUGAAAAAAAGCACCCAUUGCGUGCAACACAGAGACAAAGAGGCAUUUAUGUAAAAACACGAAAGAGAUAAAGUUAUGGAGAGAGAGAAUGGUACUUUACUUUUCACGAGAAAAAAAA